RNAcentral lists this transfer RNA (90 nucleotides) under Coprinopsis cinerea okayama7#130. It matches the Rfam family "tRNA". From Rfam's summary of the family: Transfer RNA (tRNA) molecules are approximately 80 nucleotides in length. Their secondary structure includes four short double-helical elements and three loops (D, anti-codon, and T loops). RNAcentral also lists the same sequence under 1 other name. The record is from Rfam by way of RNAcentral. Lineage: Eukaryota; Fungi; Basidiomycota; Agaricomycetes; Agaricales; Psathyrellaceae.
GGGCACUUGGCACAGUUGGUAGCGCGCUCGCUUCGCAUCCUCGAGAUCGAAUAUUGCGUGAGGUCGUGGGUUCAAUUCCCACAGUGUCCA